AGAAUACGGGCUUAUUUGAAUACUGCGCAAAAGGGAAGGACUGAUAUGGAAAAUAACCCUUCACUGCAAAGGCGCGCGCUGGCCUAGACGGUGUCGUUUGAGACCAUUAUCAUUGGUCUAAACGGUGCCGUUUCUUACUCCCUUAAAAUCCCCAACAAAACACCCCGUUCAGCUGAACCCCCAUCCAUUUUCUUCUUUUCCAAACCCUAAAUCCCCUUUGAAAAUGCCGAUUCUCCUUCCCCUAGCAGCAGCCAACAGAUUUAGACUGGAGAGAACACCUUUCAGCCUUUCAAUCUCCUCUUAACUUCGAUUUUAACUAAGCAAGAGGAGAUCCACGGCGUGCUUUCAAGGUACAGGUGCGUUGGCGCUCGGGUACGGGUCUGGGCUGGCGUACGGAGGCGCGUGUGCGUGGCUGCUGGAGGGUACGGAGGCCAGGGCCGAGGCUUGGCUGCGGCGCGAGAGAGAGAAAGAGAGAGAACCCUAGGGUUCCGUUUGUUCUAAAAUUUUUUGGGCCAUCGGGCCUGUAUUUGGGUCUUGGUUUUAAAUUUGGGUCUAGGUUUAGUUAUUGGGCUUGGGUUAUGUAGCUGGGUUUGGGUCUGUUAUAAAACUGGACUGUUGUAUUGGUUUGGUUUAAUUUAAUUUAUUUAUAUUUUGUAUUUUAUCUUGGGUUACUAAUGGGCCGAGCAAAAUGGGCCUCUUACAGCUAUUAUGGCUACUUCUUUGUUGUUACCUAAGAUUCAGUGAUUUCAUGACACUGUAAAAUUAACGGUAAAUUAUUCAAAUUGUCACUCUAAAA
This is a long non-coding RNA of Gossypium arboreum, 796 nucleotides long. RefSeq lists it as uncharacterized. The transcript is spliced from 2 exons. Lineage: Eukaryota; Viridiplantae; Streptophyta; Magnoliopsida; Malvales; Malvaceae. The record is from RefSeq and is a predicted model, not a curated record.